AGAGUUUGAUCCUGGCUCAGGACGAACGCUGGCGGCGUGCUUAACACAUGCAAGUCGAGCGAUGAAACACCUUCGGGUGCGAAUUAGCGGCGAACGGGUGAGGAACACGUGAGAAAUCUGCCUUCAACACUGGGAUAACUCCGGGAAACCGGGGCUAAUACCGGAUAUGAAAUCUGCGGGCAUCCGCGGAUUUGGAAAGUUUUUCGGUUGAAGAUGAUCUCGCGGCCUAUCAGCUUGUUGGUGAGGUAAUGGCUCACCAAGGCGACGACGGGUAGCCGGCCUGAGAGGGCGACCGGCCACACUGGGACUGAGACACGGCCCAGACUCCUACGGGAGGCAGCAGUGGGGAAUAUUGGGCAAUGGAGGAAACUCUGACCCAGCGACGCCGCGUGCGGGAUGAAGGCCUUCGGGUUGUAAACCGCUUUCAGCAGGGAAGAAGCGAAAGUGACGGUACCUGCAGAAGAAGCACCGGCUAACUAUGUGCCAGCAGCCGCGGUAAUACAUAGGGUGCAAGCGUUGUCCGGAAUUAUUGGGCGUAAAGAGCUCGUAGGUGGUUCGUCACGUCGGAUGUGAAACUCUGGGGCUUAACCCCAGACCUGCAUUCGAUACGGGCGAGCUUGAGUAUGGUAGGGGAGUCUGGAAUUCCUGGUGUAGCGGUGGAAUGCGCAGAUAUCAGGAGGAACACCAAUGGCGAAGGCAGGACUCUGGGCCAUUACUGACACUGAGGAGCGAAAGCGUGGGGAGCGAACAGGAUUAGAUACCCUGGUAGUCCACGCCGUAAACGGUGGGCACUAGUUGUGGGGACCUUCCACGGUCUCUGCGACGCAGCUAACGCAUUAAGUAUCCCGCCUGGGGAGUACGAUCGCAAGAUUAAAACUCAAAGGAAUUGACGGGGCCCCGCACAAGCAGCGGAGCAUGCGG
Molecule: ribosomal RNA, 921 nt
Filed under: uncultured bacterium
Lineage: Bacteria
Description: bacterial SSU rRNA
Rfam family: Bacterial small subunit ribosomal RNA
Source: RNAcentral